RNAcentral lists this long non-coding RNA (827 nucleotides) under Homo sapiens (human). RNAcentral's name for it is "HSALNT0399268". The record is from RNAcentral. Lineage: Eukaryota; Metazoa; Chordata; Mammalia; Primates; Hominidae.
GGCAGUGGUGGCAGCAGCAGCAUCCUGGGGCCUGGCUACAUGGUGGUGAUGGCCACAGUGUCCCCCAGAUGUUCCAGCAGCAUGGUUUUCAUCGUGGUCUUGGCUAUCCAGCUGCUACCUUUGGUGCCUGCGUGAUUUCUGGGUCCAGUCUUCAAGAUAUUCUGUGAGCUAAUCAAUACCCUUCCAUUAGGUUUUUUGUUUUUUUGUGUUUUUUUUUGCCAUAAUCAGAGCCUGUUUCUUCUGCUUGCAACUGCGAAUGGACUAAUACAGAGUCUUUGAAGGGUAUGGGCAGGGAGAAAUGAUGGGACCUGGCUUGUACUUUGAAGAAGUCCUAUAGGCUGCUAUGUGGCCACGAUAGUAGAGCACAGCUACAGCAAAUCAUGAAGUCUUCAUCAGUCAGACACCAGCGUCAUGCUCUUGGCCUUGCCAGCUUCCAGAACCAUCUGCUCAGCUUGCUGUCCCUGGGAGACAACCACAGGAGUUGUUUAGGAGACACCGGGCUACUUCAGCCUGGAGCUCCAGGAGGAGGUCUGCAUUGGUCGUUGGGACAAUAGGACCAGGACAUGGCAGGCUGCAGGACCCCAGUUGCACCAAACUGCCAUCCCCUCCUGCCUGGUUUCCCUUCUUCAUGAACCGAUCAAUGGGCCAUAGCCAGGUUGGGAUGCAUGUCUUCCACAGGAUGGGAACUACCUCCAGCUGAUCAGUUAACAGUUCAGUUGGGGACCUUUGAGUAAAAUAGAUGACCCUCUAUUAGGUGGUUGGGCCUCUUCCAAUCAGUUGACAGCCUACAGAGAACAAAGACUGAUCUCCCCCCAGCAAGAAGGAAU